GUGCACGCUGGCGGUAGGCCUAACCCAUGCCAGUCGAACGGCAGCACAGUAAGAGCUUGCUCUUACGGGUGGCGAGUGGCGGACGGGUGAGGAAUACAUCGGAAUCUACUUUUUCGUGGGGGAUAGCGUAGGGAAACUUACGCUAAUACCGCAUACGACCUACGGGUGAAAGCAGGGGAUCUUCGGACCUUGCGCGAUUGAAUGAGCCGAUGUCGGAUUAGCUAGUUGGCGGGGUAAAGGCCCACCAAGGCGACGAUCCGUAGCUGGUCUGAGAGGAUGAUCAGCCACACUGGAACUGAGACACGGUCCAGACUCCUACGGGAGGCAGCAGUGGGGAAUAUUGGACAAUGGGCGCAAGCCUGAUCCAGCCAUACCGCGUGGGUGAAGAAGGCCUUCGGGUUGUAAAGCCCUUUUGUUGGGAAAGAAAAGCAGCAGGUUAAUACCCCGCUGUUCUGACGGUACCCAAAGAAUAAGCACCGGCUAACUUCGUG
Molecule: ribosomal RNA, 491 nt
Filed under: uncultured bacterium
Lineage: Bacteria
Description: partial 16S ribosomal RNA
Rfam family: Bacterial small subunit ribosomal RNA
Source: RNAcentral